RNAcentral lists this small RNA (590 nucleotides) under Pongo abelii (Sumatran orangutan). RNAcentral's name for it is "retained intron". The record is from RNAcentral. Lineage: Eukaryota; Metazoa; Chordata; Mammalia; Primates; Hominidae.
AGUUGGAAGGAAGAGGGAAAAUACUCAUCUUUUCAGAAUGGAAAUAGGACAAAUGAAGGAGAGUAAAAGUUCAUCCUUUAUUGCUUUUUUUCCCUUUUCUCCUAAUAGUCUCUAGGUGUUAAUAUAAAUGUUAAAAAUAUUUGUACAGGGUGUGCAUGUGUGGUCUAAAGAGUUAAUUGUUAUUAACACAGCAUUGUAUAUUCCUGUAACUUAUUUCUGGUGUUGGGGAUGAUUUGAUUAAUUAGUUCUUUGAAAAACAGAUGCUGGUGCCGCAUUCUCGGCUUUCCAGGCAAAUUGCUAUUCUCUAUAUUUGACCCGUAGCAUGUAGAAUUGUAUUCUACCCUAUGAAAAAUUUAUAAUCAACUUCUUACCUUUUAGGCACAUAGAGAUGAAAUCCAGCGCAAAUUUGAUGCUCUUCGUAACAGCUGUACUGUAAUCACAGACCUGGAGGAGCAGCUAAACCAGCUGACCGAGGACAACGCUGAACUCAACAACCAAAACUUCUACUUGUCCAAACAACUCGAUGAGGCUUCUGGCGCCAACGAUGAGAUUGUACAACUGCGAAGUGAAGUGGACCAUCUCCGCCGGGA